Long non-coding RNA from Telopea speciosissima, 146 nucleotides. RefSeq lists it as uncharacterized. Lineage: Eukaryota; Viridiplantae; Streptophyta; Magnoliopsida; Proteales; Proteaceae. The transcript is spliced from 4 exons. The record is from RefSeq and is a predicted model, not a curated record.
AUGGGAGUACUUAAUGCUUCCUCUGCAAUUUGUUCAAUCUCCAAGGGUUGAAGAAAGCACCUAAAAAGGCAAGUAAUUGCAGCAGUGGUGUACUUGUUGAUCCUCAUUUUGGAGAAAUUUUGCCAUUAAUUUUUAAUUAUUUGUAU